Non-coding RNA from Candidatus Gottesmanbacteria bacterium, 74 nucleotides. NCBI's taxonomy places the organism in Bacteria, Candidatus Gottesmaniibacteriota. The record is from Rfam.
GGGAUCGUAGCGCAGUUGGUUAGCGCAUCUCCUUGUCAAGGAGAGGGUCACGGGUUCGAGUCCCGUCGGUCCCG